UACAGAGGGUGCGAGCGUUAAUCGGAAUUACUGGGCGUAAAGCGUGCGUAGACGGUUAUUUAAGUCGGAUGUGAAAGCCCCGGGCUCAACCUGGGAAUUGCAUUCGAGACUGAAUAGCUAGGGUGCGGUAGAGGGAAGCGGAAUUUCCGGUGUAGCGGUGAAAUGCGUAGAUAUCUGGAGGAACACCGGUGGCGAAGGCGGCAUCCUGGACCAACACUGACACUGAGGAGCGAAAGCCAGGGGAGCAAACGGG
Molecule: ribosomal RNA, 253 nt
Filed under: uncultured bacterium
Lineage: Bacteria
Description: partial 16S ribosomal RNA
Rfam family: Bacterial small subunit ribosomal RNA
Source: RNAcentral